This 1317-nucleotide long non-coding RNA is filed under the name Nicotiana benthamiana. RNAcentral describes it as "long non-coding RNA (NBEN_LNC013276)". The record is from RNAcentral. Lineage: Eukaryota; Viridiplantae; Streptophyta; Magnoliopsida; Solanales; Solanaceae.
UGCCUCGUCUAACUCCACAAACAUGCUUUUGUCACCGCACAUAUGGUUGCUUGCACCCGUGUCGAGAUACCACAAAUUCGAUCCUCCGUUGUCUCAACCUUUGCAUGCUAGUAACAAAGUGUUUUCCACGGCUUCGGCAUCUUCUUGUGCAAAAUUUGCUCUUUCUUGCACGUAAUUUCUUGCACGUAAUCAUCAAACUAAGAUUUUGAUCCUAGGAGAAAAUUCGUCAGACUAGGUCUUUUAUCUUAGGAGAAAAAUUCAUCAGACUAAGAUUUUGAUCCUAGGAGAAAAUUCAUCAGACUAGGUCUUUUUUUGUUAUCUUAGGAGAAAGAUUCAUCACACUAAGACUUCUAUACUAGGAGAAAGUUCAUCAGACCAGAUUUUCUAUUAGGAGAAAAAUUCAUCAGACUAGGAUUUUGAUCCUAGGAGAAAGUUCAUCAGACUAGGUCUUCUAUCUUAGGAGAAAGAUUCAUUAGACUACGAUUUUUAUCCUAGGAGAAAAUUCGUCAGACUAAGAUUUUGAUCCUAGGAGAAAAUUCAUCAGAAUAGGUCUCUUUUUGUUGUCUUAGGAGAAAGAUUCAUCACACUAAGACUUCUAUCCUAGGAGAAAGUUCAUCAGACUAGGUUUUCUAUCUUAGGAGAAAAAUUCAUCAGACUAAGAUUAUGAUCCUAGGAGAAAGUUCAUCAGACUAGGUCUUCUAUCUUAGGAGAAAGAUUCAUCAGACUAAGAUUUGAUUGGGAGGAAAAUUCGCCAAACCAGGACUUUUAUCUUAGGAGGAAAAAUCUAAGAGCAAUGGAAACAUUUAGGCACACUAGCAAGACAGGUAAGGGAAAAGAUUUUAGAAACUUCCCUUUGUCGAUUCUUUUUCUCUUUUUUUUUAUUCAUUUUUGUUUUUCAACCCACUUGCUUGAACUGCUUCAUUCCUGUUUCGAACAAAGAAAACUUGUGAGUUUAAAUGUAUUGGUUAGUUUGUGGCCUUGACCUUGAAGGCGCCUGCUUCUACACUUGCCGUGGUAACUUUGAUUUCAAAUUGAACGACCUUGAAUGUUGUCGACUACCCAUUUUCUUUCAAACCUUAUCAUAAAGAAAUAUUACUGAUUCAUUCAAGUCCAAUACCUUAUGCCCGAUGCAUUGCAUUAGUGUUCUGACCUUCAUCCAAUCUUUGCAUUUUACAUCAAUCCCAAAGAACAUCUAUUAUCACCAACUCAGUUCACACACUAUUCUCAUGUAUCUUAUGCCAUUUUGAUGUGCUUGCCAGACUCGGCUUUGUGCAAUUGGAAAGCUUGGUAGCUAAUUUUGAAGUUAUUUCUCACUUG